This 126-nucleotide ribosomal RNA is filed under the name Danio rerio (zebrafish). Lineage: Eukaryota; Metazoa; Chordata; Actinopteri; Cypriniformes; Danionidae. The record is from RNAcentral.
UCAGUUGAGUUUGUUACCAUUCAGACACUAUGCCUAUAUCCGUACUACUCACUGAAGCCAAGCAGGGCUGCGCCUGGUCAGUACCUGGAUGGGAGACCAGAUGAGAAAACUAGGUUGCCGCCGGAA